This 301-nucleotide ribosomal RNA is filed under the name uncultured bacterium. RNAcentral describes it as "partial 16S ribosomal RNA". It matches the Rfam family "Bacterial small subunit ribosomal RNA", at positions 509 to 807 of the family's 1533-position model. The record is from RNAcentral.
CAGCAGCCGCGGUAAUACGUAGGUGGCAAGCGUUGUCCGGAAUUAUUGGGCGUAAAGGGCUCGCAGGCGGUUUCUUAAGUCUGAUGUGAAAGCCCCCGGCUCAACCGGGGAGGGUCAUUGGAAACUGGGAAACUUGAGUGCAGAAGGGGAGAGUGGAAUUCUACGUGUAGCGGUGAAAUGCGUAGAGAUGUGGAGGAACACCAGUGGCGAAGGCGACUCUCUGGUCUGUAACUGACGCUGAGGAGCGAAAGCGUGGGGAGCGAACAGGAUUAGAUACCCGCGUAGUCCCUGUCUCUUAUAC